AGCAAGUGCUAGGGGUGCCUUAGUGGCUGAGAAAUGAAUGGAAUUCAUUAACCCUUCACCUGAUCUGGGUAAUUCCAGCGUAGGGAAGCGUACGACAAUGUAU
RNAcentral lists this non-coding RNA (103 nucleotides) under Propionispora sp. 2/2-37. RNAcentral's name for it is "TPP riboswitch aptamer (THI element)". It matches the Rfam family "TPP riboswitch aptamer (THI element)". Rfam says of the family: Vitamin B(1) in its active form thiamin pyrophosphate (TPP) is an essential coenzyme that is synthesised by coupling of pyrimidine and thiazole moieties in bacteria. The previously detected thiamin-regulatory element, thi box was extended, resulting in a new, highly conserved RNA secondary structure, the THI element, which is widely distributed in eubacteria and also occurs in some archaea. The record is from Rfam by way of RNAcentral. Lineage: Bacteria; Bacillati; Bacillota; Negativicutes; Selenomonadales; Sporomusaceae. RNAcentral also lists the same sequence under 1 other name.